AUUGAACGCUAGCGGGAUGCCUUACACAUGCAAGUCGAACGGCAGCGCGGACUUCGGUCUGGCGGCGAGUGGCGAACGGGUGAGUAAUGUAUCGGAACGUGCCCAGUAGCGGGGGACAACCACUCGAAAGAGUGGCUAAUACCGCAUACGCCCUACGGGGAAAGGGGGGGAGUCGCAAGACCUCUCACUAUUGGAGCGGCCGAUAUCGGAUUAGCUAGUUGGUGGGGUAAAGGCCUACCAAGGCGACGAUCCGUAGCUGGUUUGAGAGGACGACCAGCCACACUGGGACUGAGACACGGCCCAGACUCCUACGGGAGGCAGCAGUGGGGAAUUUUGGACAAUGGGGGAAACCCUGAUCCAGCCAUUCCGCUGUGCGAUGAAGGCC
RNAcentral lists this ribosomal RNA (385 nucleotides) under uncultured bacterium. Its description in RNAcentral is "bacterial SSU rRNA". It matches the Rfam family "Bacterial small subunit ribosomal RNA", at positions 29 to 416 of the family's 1533-position model. The record is from RNAcentral.